GCUGCAAGGGGUAGUUUAAGUAGAAUUUCAGCUUUGGGUGCUGAUGGUAGGACUUGAGUCUUUCCCU
Molecule: transfer RNA, 67 nt
Filed under: Macroderma gigas (Australian ghost bat)
Lineage: Eukaryota; Metazoa; Chordata; Mammalia; Chiroptera; Megadermatidae
Description: tRNA-Pro
Source: RNAcentral